GGACUAGUGGCAGAGCGGUUACUGCACCUGGAUCACCUGAGGAUAGUUCGCAGGAAGCUUUCUCCAGGGCACCCUUGUUCGAAUCAAGGCUAGUCCA
This is a non-coding RNA of Mycena latifolia, 97 nucleotides long. Lineage: Eukaryota; Fungi; Basidiomycota; Agaricomycetes; Agaricales; Mycenaceae. The record is from the annotation of a GenBank genome assembly.